Molecule: transfer RNA, 71 nt
Filed under: Marmota monax (woodchuck)
Lineage: Eukaryota; Metazoa; Chordata; Mammalia; Rodentia; Sciuridae
Description: tRNA.Ala
Rfam family: tRNA
About the family: Transfer RNA (tRNA) molecules are approximately 80 nucleotides in length. Their secondary structure includes four short double-helical elements and three loops (D, anti-codon, and T loops). Further hydrogen bonds mediate the characteristic L-shaped molecular structure. tRNAs have two regions of fundamental functional importance: the anti-codon, which is responsible for specific mRNA codon recognition, and the 3' end, to which the tRNAs corresponding amino acid is attached (by aminoacyl-tRNA synthetases). tRNAs cope with the degeneracy of the genetic code in two manners: having more than one tRNA (with a specific anti-codon) for a particular amino acid; and 'wobble' base-pairing, i.e. permitting non-standard base-pairing at the 3rd anti-codon position.
Source: RNAcentral
GGGGCUAUAGCUCAGUGGUAGAGUGCCUGCCUUGCACGUAUGAGGCACUGGGUUCAAUCCUCAGUACCACA